This 793-nucleotide ribosomal RNA is filed under the name uncultured bacterium. RNAcentral describes it as "bacterial SSU rRNA". It matches the Rfam family "Bacterial small subunit ribosomal RNA", at positions 680 to 1501 of the family's 1533-position model. The record is from RNAcentral.
GGUGAAAUUCGUAGAUAUUCGGGAAGAAACACCCAGUGGGCGAAGGCGACUGAACUGGACAAGUAUUGGAACGCUGAAGGUGGCGAAAAGCGUGGGGGAGCAAAACAGGGAUUUAGAUACCCCUGGUAAGUCCCCCGCCCGUAAAACGAUGAUAAACUAAGCUGGUCCCGGUUACUUGGGUUACUUGGGUGGCGCAGCUAAACGCAUUAAAGUUAUCCGCCUGGGGAGUACGGUCGCAAGAUUAAAACUCAAAGGAAUUGACGGGGGCCUGCACAAGCGGUGGAGCAUGUGGUUUAAUUCGAAGCAACGCGCAGAACCUUACCAGCGUUUGACAUGCCGGUCGCGGAUUUGGGAGACCAUUUCCUUCAGUUCGGCUGGACCGUGCACAGGUGCUGCAUGGCUGUCGUCAGCUCGUGGUCGUGAGAUGUUGGGUUAAGUCCCGCAACGAGCGCAACCCUCGUCCUUAGUUGCCAGCAUUUGGUUGGGCACUCUAAGGAAACUGCCGGUGAUAAGCCGGAGGAAGGUGGGGAUGACGUCAAGUCCUCAUGGCCCUUACACGCUGGGCUACACACGUGCUACAAUGGCGGUGACAGUGGGCAGCAAGCACGCGAGUGUGAGCUAAUCUCCAAAAGCCGUCUCAGUUCGGAUUGUUCUCUGCAACUCGAGAGCAUGAAGGCGGAAUCGCUAGUAAUCGCGGAUCAGCAUGCCGCGGUGAAUACGUUCCCAGGCCUUGUACACACCGCCCGUCACACCAUGGGAGUUUGAUCCUGGCUCAGAUCGUAACAAGGUAACC